UCGGCGCGUCGGUCUCUGAAAGCCCCCGGCUCAACCGGGGAAGCGGAGCCGAAACGACCGGUCUCGAGGGAUGGAGGGGGACCUGGAACUUCCGGUGGAGCGGUGAAAUGCGUUGAGAUCGGAAGGAACGCCGGCGGCGAAAGCGAGGUCCUGGACGUCCACUGACGCUGAGACGCGAAAGCUGGGGGAGCGAACGGG
This 198-nucleotide ribosomal RNA is filed under the name uncultured bacterium. RNAcentral's name for it is "partial 16S ribosomal RNA". It matches the Rfam family "Bacterial small subunit ribosomal RNA", at positions 580 to 776 of the family's 1533-position model. The record is from RNAcentral.